GCUUGAGUAGUACUAGUUAUGUUCUUGAACUUAAAGAAUUUGGCGGUAUCUUAUUCCGUUCAGAGGAAUCUGUCUCGUUAUCGAUAGUCCGCGUUGGACCUUACUUAGUUGCUAUGGUUUGUAUACCGCCGUUUAUUGAUUAUGCUUUUAGGGUUUUUAAUUUUCUGGUUUCUUUGUUUUGGUUUAUUUCAGGUCAAGGUGCAGCUUGUUUCUAAGUGUUAUUGAUGGAUUACAUUGUUUUUUGUUGUUUGGAUUGCUGGUUGAGAUUAUUGGUAUGAAAUUGGAUUUGAUUGUAAUGUCUUGAAGAUUGUUUUCGUGAUAUUUGGUUCUAAAAUAUGUACACAUCGCCCGUCGCUCUUAGCCGCAGGGUGAAAAAGACCCCGCCCACACCUCUUAGCCAUGUUGGGACUGAGGCCCAUCAUGACUGGCCAGAGGGAUGAG
This 441-nucleotide ribosomal RNA is filed under the name Coptotermes heimi. Its description in RNAcentral is "partial 12S ribosomal RNA". Lineage: Eukaryota; Metazoa; Arthropoda; Insecta; Blattodea; Rhinotermitidae. The record is from RNAcentral.